Molecule: long non-coding RNA, 315 nt
Organism: Agelaius phoeniceus (red-winged blackbird)
Lineage: Eukaryota; Metazoa; Chordata; Aves; Passeriformes; Icteridae
Source: RefSeq, a predicted model, not a curated record
UGUUAGUCAAUAUCCAUUUGCUGUCUACAAUUCCACCUAAGAGAGGGAAGAUUGCUCAUUUUCUGUGUGCCUGAGAGACAAGGAGAAGUCAAGAUCCUACAAUGGCCAUCAUGGUGACUCCUCCUCUUUUCCUCCUCUUCAUCCUUUUGCCCUGCAGUAAAUCCCAGGAGGACUUUCUGGACCAGCAUCAGAAAUGGAACUACAGAGAAGGCGCUGACAAGGUCAACAUCGAAGGUGUUCACAGCAUUACUCAAACCCUUGAGAAAUGGGGAAAUGACAUCUUCUGGCAAAUGAAGCAUACCCUGCUGAACAACC